UGGAAGAUUCUAUUGUCAAAAUGUAGGGCAUGCUCCUAAAGUGUUAUUCUCUUCUAGAGUGAAUGAUGGAAUAUGCGACUGCAGUGAUGGGAGUGAUGAGUAUGAUGAUAAAGGGAAAUGCCAUAAUACAUUUUAGACUGCUAGAUACUUAAAGGACUUGUCCAGCAGCUUAGAGGAUGCUGUGGACGUCCAUGACAGUUUAGCUGCUGAAGCUGAACAUGGUGAUGCUUCCAGAAAGGAAAGGUCCUCAGUUCAAGGUGUAGAACAGGUAUAUAUUGAGAUGCAUUUCUUUGGCGUAAUACUAGACAACAUUGACAGUUGAAGUUUUUAGAAUAAAAAAUAUAGUUCACUAACAUUGUAUACAUUUCUUGUUUAAUAUUUGGUGAUGCUAUAAUUUGAUUGUAGUAUAAACUGUCAUGUAAUAUGAUUUUGUAAGCCGAGUAGACUAAAUACUGAAAUGAUAUUUUUGAGUAAUUAAUAAAUUAUUUUGUUG
This is a long non-coding RNA of Humulus lupulus (European hop), 493 nucleotides long. RefSeq lists it as uncharacterized. The transcript is spliced from 4 exons. The record is from RefSeq and is a predicted model, not a curated record. Lineage: Eukaryota; Viridiplantae; Streptophyta; Magnoliopsida; Rosales; Cannabaceae.